Molecule: unclassified non-coding RNA, 144 nt
Filed under: uncultured Ascomycota
Lineage: Eukaryota; Fungi; Ascomycota
Also listed under: 1 other name
Description: sequence contains ITS2
Source: RNAcentral
CAACCCUCAAGCCUGGCUUGGUGUUGGGGCUCUGCGUCUGCAGUCCCUUAAAUCCAGUGGCGGACACGCUAGGUCUCCGAGCGCAGUAGUUUCUCCUCGCUCAGGGCGUCCGGCGUGGGCUUGCCUCGCACCCAUCUUUUACAA